UGCACAGCUGCACCGAGCAUUGCACGCCAGCACUGGUGCAAUCACACACCAGCUUUGGAGCAUUGCACGUUGUUGCACGCUGGCGCAGAGCAUUGCAUGCCAGAAUGGAGCAUCCGUUUUCCAGCACUGGAGCAUUGCACAGCUGCACCAGAGCGUUGCACGCUGCCACCAAGCAAACAAGUGCCACCAGCACUGCAGCGUUGCACAGCUGAGCACCAGAGCGUUGCACACCAGUGACACGCGUUGCAUGCCAGCAGUGGAGCGUCGCUGUGCUUGGAGCUGGCUGGAGCAUCACACACCAGCACUGGAGCAUCUCUUGCUGGUACUGGAGCAUUGCAGAGCAACACCCAGGCGUCACUUGCUGGCGCCAAAGCAUCACAUAGUGACCCGAGAGCAUUGCACUCCAGCACCAGGGCAUUGCAACCUGGCACCAGUGCACUGCAAACUGGAACCAGAGCGUUGCAAACUGGAACCAGAGCGUUGCAAACUGGAACCAGAGCGUUGCAAACUGGAACCAGAGCGUUGCAAACUGGAACCAGAGCGUUGCACGCUGGCACCAAAGCAUUGCAGACUGACGGCAGAGCAUUGCACGCCGGCCCCGGAGCACCCUCACGGCACACGCAAGUCGAGGACCCAGCGGUGUCCCCGUCCCACGGAGGAUCUCACUGCGCCCACGUGGGGACUGUGGGGGCCGUGGGGUCGUGCCACCCCAUGGGCAGUGCCUUAGAGCAGAGGGACCCCACACGUGGCCCCCAUGGAGGAGGAAGAGGAGGACAGCGAAGGCCCCCACGGGGAACCGCUGUGUCCCCAAGCCACCGCCACCACCCUGGAUGUCACUGUCACAAUGGGGCACAGUGCUCCUGGAGCCAACCCGUGAGCCCCAUGGACACCGGAGACCCCACAGACCCCACGGACCCCAUGGACUCCAGAGACUCCACAACCUCCAUGGACACCACAGACUCCAAAGAUCCCACAGACUCCAUGGACCUCAUGGACUCCAGAGACCCCAUCGAUCCCACAGAUCCCAUGGACCCCACAGACCCCAUGGACCCCAUGGACUCCAGAGACCCCCAUCGAUCCCAUAGACCCCACAGACCCUAUGGAUCCCAUAGACUCUCCAGACCCCAUGGACUCCAUGGACCUCAUGGACCCCACAGACCCCAUGGACCCCACAGACUCCAUGGAAUCCAGAGACCCCACGGACCCCAUGGACCCCACAGACUCCACAGACCCCAUGGGCCCCAUGGACUCCAGAGACCUCCAGUGAUCCCAGAGACCGCAUGGACGCCAUAGACCCUAUGGGUCCCAUAGACUCUGCAGACCCCAGGGACUUCAUGGACCUCAUGGACCCCACAGACCCCAUGGAUCCCACAGACUCCAUGGAAUCCAGAGACUCCCAUUGAUCCUGCAGACCCCAUGGACCUCACAAACCCCAUGGACCCCAAAGACCGCAUGGACUCCAUGAACCCCAUGGACUCCAGAGAC
Molecule: long non-coding RNA, 1485 nt
Organism: Numida meleagris (helmeted guineafowl)
Lineage: Eukaryota; Metazoa; Chordata; Aves; Galliformes; Numididae
Source: Ensembl